GUGCCAGCCGCCGCGGUAAUACAGAGGGGGCAAGCGUUAUUCGGAAUUAUUGGGCGUAAAGGGCGCGUAGGCGGCCAGGCAAGUGGAAGGUGAAAUCCCUCGGCUCAACCGAGGAACUGCCCUCCAAACUGCCGAGCUCGAGUCCGGGAGAGGUGAGUGGAAUUCCCAGUGUAGCGGUGAAAUGCGUAGAUAUUGGGAGGAACACCAGUGGCGAAGGCGGCUCACUGGACCGGAACUGACGCUGAGGCGCGAAAGCGUGGGGAGCAAACAGGAUUAGAUACCCCAGUAGUCC
This 292-nucleotide ribosomal RNA is filed under the name uncultured bacterium. Its description in RNAcentral is "partial 16S ribosomal RNA". It matches the Rfam family "Bacterial small subunit ribosomal RNA", at positions 505 to 796 of the family's 1533-position model. The record is from RNAcentral.